RNAcentral lists this ribosomal RNA (2250 nucleotides) under Staphylococcus aureus. Its description in RNAcentral is "partial 23S ribosomal RNA". It matches the Rfam family "Bacterial large subunit ribosomal RNA", at positions 68 to 2316 of the family's 2925-position model. Lineage: Bacteria; Bacillati; Bacillota; Bacilli; Caryophanales; Staphylococcaceae. The record is from RNAcentral.
ACGAUAUGCUUUGGGGAGCUGUAAGUAAGCUUUGAUCCAGAGAUUUCCGAAUGGGGAAACCCAGCAUGAGUUAUGUCAUGUUAUCGAUAUGUGAAUACAUAGCAUAUCAGAAGGCACACCCGGAGAACUGAAACAUCUUAGUACCCGGAGGAAGAGAAAGAAAAUUCGAUUCCCUUAGUAGCGGCGAGCGAAACGGGAAGAGCCCAAACCAACAAGCUUGCUUGUUGGGGUUGUAGGACACUCUAUACGGAGUUACAAAGGACGACAUUAGACGAAUCAUCUGGAAAGAUGAAUCAAAGAAGGUAAUAAUCCUGUAGUCGAAAAUGUUGUCUCUCUUGAGUGAAUCCUGAGUACGACGGAGCACGUGAAAUUCCGUCGGAAUCUGGGAGGACCAUCUCCUAAGGCUAAAUACUCUCUAGUGACCGAUAGUGAACCAGUACCGUGAGGGAAAGGUGAAAAGCACCCCGGAAGGGGAGUGAAAUAGAACCUGAAACCGUGUGCUUACAAGUAGUCAGAGCCCGUUAAUGGGUGAUGGCGUGCCUUUUGUAGAAUGAACCGGCGAGUUACGAUUUGAUGCAAGGUUAAGCAGUAAAUGUGGAGCCGUAGCGAAAGCGAGUCUGAAUAGGGCGUUUAGUAUUUGGUCGUAGACCCGAAACCAGGUGAUCUACCCUUGGUCAGGUUGAAGUUCAGGUAACACUGAAUGGAGGACCGAACCGACUUACGUUGAAAAGUGAGCGGAUGAACUGAGGGUAGCGGAGAAAUUCCAAUCGAACCUGGAGAUAGCUGGUUCUCUCCGAAAUAGCUUUAGGGCUAGCCUCAAGUGAUGAUUAUUGGAGGUAGAGCACUGUUUGGACGAGGGGCCCCUCUCGGGUUACCGAAUUCAGACAAACUCCGAAUGCCAAUUAAUUUAACUUGGGAGUCAGAACAUGGGUGAUAAGGUCCGUGUUCGAAAGGGAAACAGCCCAGACCACCAGCUAAGGUCCCAAAAUAUAUGUUAAGUGGAAAAGGAUGUGGCGUUGCCCAGACAACUAGGAUGUUGGCUUAGAAGCAGCCAUCAUUUAAAGAGUGCGUAAUAGCUCACUAGUCGAGUGACACUGCGCCGAAAAUGUACCGGGGCUAAACAUAUUACCGAAGCUGUGGAUUGUCCUUUGGACAAUGGUAGGAGAGCGUUCUAAGGGCGUUGAAGCAUGAUCGUAAGGACAUGUGGAGCGCUUAGAAGUGAGAAUGCCGGUGUGAGUAGCGAAAGACGGGUGAGAAUCCCGUCCACCGAUUGACUAAGGUUUCCAGAGGAAGGCUCGUCCGCUCUGGGUUAGUCGGGUCCUAAGCUGAGGCCGACAGGCGUAGGCGAUGGAUAACAGGUUGAUAUUCCUGUACCACCUAUAAUCGUUUUAAUCGAUGGGGGGACGCAGUAGGAUAGGCGAAGCGUGCGAUUGGAUUGCACGUCUAAGCAGUAAGGCUGAGUAUUAGGCAAAUCCGGUACUCGUUAAGGCUGAGCUGUGAUGGGGAGAAGACAUUGUGUCUUCGAGUCGUUGAUUUCACACUGCCGAGAAAAGCCUCUAGAUAGAAAAUAGGUGCCCGUACCGCAAACCGACACAGGUAGUCAAGAUGAGAAUUCUAAGGUGAGCGAGCGAACUCUCGUUAAGGAACUCGGCAAAAUGACCCCGUAACUUCGGGAGAAGGGGUGCUCUUUAGGGUUAACGCCCAGAAGAGCCGCAGUGAAUAGGCCCAAGCGACUGUUUAUCAAAAACACAGGUCUCUGCUAAACCGUAAGGUGAUGUAUAGGGGCUGACGCCUGCCCGGUGCUGGAAGGUUAAGAGGAGUGGUUAGCUUCUGCGAAGCUACGAAUCGAAGCCCCAGUAAACGGCGGCCGUAACUAUAACGGUCCUAAGGUAGCGAAAUUCCUUGUCGGGUAAGUUCCGACCCGCACGAAAGGCGUAACGAUUUGGGCACUGUCUCAACGAGAGACUCGGUGAAAUCAUAGUACCUGUGAAGAUGCAGGUUACCCGCGACAGGACGGAAAGACCCCGUGGAGCUUUACUGUAGCCUGAUAUUGAAAUUCGGCACAGCUUGUACAGGAUAGGUAGGAGCCUUUGAAACGUGAGCGCUAGCUUACGUGGAGGCGCUGGUGGGAUACUACCCUAGCUGUGUUGGCUUUCUAACCCGCACCACUUAUCGUGGUGGGAGACAGUGUCAGGCGGGCAGUUUGACUGGGGCGGUCGCCUCCUAAAAGGUAACGGAGGCGCUCAAAGG